AUUAACAAGGCCAACCUGAUAUUUCCAAUAUAUUGUUAGAGUUAUGUAAGAAAGGAACUUGACGGAAGCUAAACAGGGUUGGGUCUGGUUAGUACUUUGAUGGGAGACCACCUAGGAAUACCAGGUGCUGUAGGUG
Molecule: ribosomal RNA, 136 nt
Filed under: Pteropus vampyrus (large flying fox)
Lineage: Eukaryota; Metazoa; Chordata; Mammalia; Chiroptera; Pteropodidae
Source: RNAcentral